CACAACUUGCAAGCAAAACAAUGCUGAAAUGACUUGAAACUUAAAUUCCCCAUUUAUAAAACAAAAGGGGUUUUUGACUGGAUAUCAGAAGCAUCAGAACUCCCAAAAUUCUCUACUAUUUAAUGAUAAUUUGAUAAGAUUGAUGUAAUAAUCACUUGAAAUAGUAUAGUUUGAUAACCAAACAACUACGCAAUGUUUCUGAUUAUUAUAUAAAACUAUUAAAUUAGUAUAUAAAAGAUUAAAAAAUUUAGCAAUUAGAACCAUGCAAAUGACCAAGUUGUCAAGUAUGAUUCCUUCAAUUAAUUUAAUAAAUUCACAAUUGAGAUUUUAUCGUAAUGGACCAAAACAAAGUUAACAUAAGCAACAGAUGUUAGAGACUUGGUAACAGAACCUUCCAUUUCUCUCUCUGAGGGUUUAAGGGCAGGCACUGCUAGGUCUUCACGAGCUUGGAAACAGUGAAGCCAUCAAAAAGAGUCAACAUCAAACAGUUGGUUUAGCAUCUCAUCAAUAAGCAAAUAGAACUGUUCAGCUACAGAUUCACAGAGCCAAAUCCAGAAAAUCAAGUUUGUGUGUUUGUACAGCAUAAAAAUUUGAAUGAAACAACUUGAAGUUUCCCUACAAUUGUUUCCGUUUGUCGGUAUUAUAUGUUAUCAGAAUACAGAACAAGCAUCAACCCAAUAAUUGCUUAUAAUCUUCAUGAUUCAAUCAAUCCAUGUUAUGUCUUUGCUAUGUAUUUAGUGCCGGUGCGCUCAUAUACAUCUAACAUCCCUCCCUCCUUUUGUUAAUUAAUAAAAAUUGACAAGAUAUAGAAAAGUUAAAAGAAGUAUGUAUUAAUCAGAGUUAGCCAACCAAAUGUCGGAUUUACAUUUACAGAGAGAUAAUCAGACACAAUCUUGAAUUGACGAAAGAUGUCUUUGCAAGUGACAAAUAACUCAGAACUCUUUUGAGUGGAUGACAGAUAGAGGAAAACAGGAAACACUGUUUAAAAGAAGGAGAAUAUUAUGCGGGGGUGCAUGCAUGUUUAUGUCAGUGAAAUCCUUAGGUAACUGUGCAUUAGCAAUUUCUAUAGUUUAGAUUCGCCCCAAUUAGCCACUGUUGUAAGUAGAUAUUCAUAGAGGUGAUAACAAUAUAUCAAUUCUCCCGUCCCAAAGGAAUUUCACUAGGGCAUCGGAGGAGGAGCAAGAAACCCUGAUGAAGGGAGUAUUAGUAACACCACACUUUGCUCAUCAGAAUUGAUGUAACCAAAAAUAAUAGUCAAUUCAUAAUAAGCCAAAUUAGCAACAUGUAUUGUCGAGUGCUAUUACACUACCUCCAGAAGGCUUAAAAAGGGAAAGGCUUUUCAAACUGCUUUGGAAAAGCUACUUAAGUAUAGAAGGUAAUUUAACCCAUAGAAGCAACAUGCUAAAUCUGACGCAAGGGAAUAUAAAUAACAACAGUGAAAAUAAGGAAAAAAAUUAAAAACUUUUGUCCAGUAAACAACCAGAGAAGCUUACUUUAAUCCACGAAGAAAAAACGAGUCUGAAAUAGACAUGAGAAUGCUAAUUAUGCAUAUCAAGACUUAUACAACUGGACUAUGCAAGAAAUGGGGGAAAAUAUCUAUUAGGUCCACGGAUUGACACAUAUUCAACUUCUAUGAUUAAACAUAUCAAAAUUCUCUAGGCAUUUAGCUCACUGUUUUUACCUUCAUUUCUCUCUUGCUUACUUUGCCUCUCCUUCUCGGCUGCCUGGACUCGAACAACAGUAAACAUAAGAAUAGCAUAAGCUAUUUGUAAUAGGAAAAAUGCUCAGAGUAAAUUUUAAUUGUACUUCAAAACAGGAAGAUACGAAAAUCCUUCUCAGAAUUUAACAGUACCAUUAAAUUCCAGGAGAUCAGUGUAGCAUCAGUUUUGUAGGAAUUGCAAAGAUAUUAUUACAUCUUUGAAAGGAGCAUGUACAUUUUUAAGGCAAUGACAGUUUAUUUUUGUUGACCCUAACAGAAGAGAAAUGUGGCCUGUUGGUACUAGCAAAUUAUUUGUGAAAACAAGAUCAUAAUGCCCUACACAAUCAAAACCCAGUAACUUUUUUAACUGGAACUGCAAGCAAGCACUUAAAUGAUAACUACUACAGAAACCAUCAGAAAACAAUAUCAUUGUGGUAAUCCAAUGGCAAGAUAUACUUUGCUAGUGCCCUAUUCGUUUGAAACAUAUCAAUGAAGUCAACACGACAAAGGGAAUUCAAUGGUUUAUUGCAAAUUAUAUUCUGCCUAUUAUUUGGGUCUUGCAAUUUNN
RNAcentral lists this long non-coding RNA (2267 nucleotides) under Carica papaya (papaya). RNAcentral's name for it is "long non-coding RNA (CPAP_LNC012306)". The record is from RNAcentral. Lineage: Eukaryota; Viridiplantae; Streptophyta; Magnoliopsida; Brassicales; Caricaceae.